CAGGAUGUUUAUGUUUGCUAUUGCUUUCGUUUUCUCUCUGGUGUCGCAGACACUAAAGCAGUCGGUCAUGUUUUUCUGUGUUCUGAUCAACGCUGAAUAAACUUGUAAAUAAUGCUCUCCUGAGUGCAACUUUUGGCUGUGCUAAUUGCUGAUAGAGCGUGCAUGAGUCUGGAAUGUGGCAAGAUAUUUUCUAGAAACUCAUGUCGCUGCGUGCCUACGGGAGGCUGAUGGAUCGUCCGGCAGACGGCUUGGGGCCGUGAUGGACUUUAUCUCCCUGGCAGUAUCCCAACAACAAGGUUUCGGGCCCAGAUUCACGGCACUUACAGGAGAGUAAGACUGCGACAGACUGCUGAAAGGUAUGUGGAGAAAAGCGAAAGUGAGGCUUUUCUGUUUGCCGCGGCAAGAGCUUUGAUGUCCGGCAGGCCUAAUUGGUCUGGGCGUCGAGCCCAGCAGGCCUCAAGAUUAAUGAGCUGCUAAGAUAAGACGUCUUUGAAGGCAUAAAGGCUCAAGGCUCAAGUAAAAGCUGGAAUGGAGUUUUUCCAGGCUUCUGAGGCUCCUGAGUGCCCAAAGUUAAAUCGGCACAAUUAUGGGACCUGGGCUGUGUGGUGUGAGAGCUUGCUGCGUCAGUUUGGAGUGUGGCAUACUGUGUCUGAAGCCCCUCCAGUUCCUCUGACAGAUAGAUGGGAGGCCGAGAAUUUGAGGGCGAUAGACGUAAUCGUCUUGUCCGUCUCUCUGGAGGAAAUAAAGACGCUAGCUGGCAAUCUGACUGCACGUAAUAUGUGGCAUGCUUUGAAGAUAGCCCAUCUGCCAGUCAUCCCAGCCCAGAGUUUGACUGCAUCGGAGGUCCUGGCUGUUUCCCAGAAUGCGAGUGAAUGCAGGGAUGCCGAGGGCACCGGUUGCAAGCUGCAGGGGGGCUGACUGUCACGUCAUCCCAGGCAGCAUUCCAGCCUCCAGGGGGAGCCAAGGAGUCGGCAGCUGAGAGCUCUGUUUCUCAUGGGAACCAAGGUCAUCGCCUUUGCAGAGGCCGGAAGGGCAAAGGUAAACAGAGGCAGACGCCUGCAGAUGGCCAGAAGCAGAGGGAGGGUGAAGAGCCCACGCCAGUGGAAAACAAGGUUUUGUUUGCUGGCACAGCCUCACCAAAGGUCACAGCCAGGUUUGUUGUUGAUUCAGGCUGUACCCGCCAUGUCUCAAAGGACCGCCACCUCUUUAUCUCCUUCAAACCUCAAGAAGGUGAGAUCCACCUGGCUGACGGAAAAACAUUGCGAAUCGCAGGAGAAGGGACUGUGAAACUGGCAAGUCUGCACACUACCAUCAAAGAUGUACUAUAUGUUCCAGGUGCUGCAGACAAUUUGCUUAGUGUCCCACAGCUGACUGGGCGUGGUUUUGAGAUUUCCUUCAAGAGGAGCGUUUGUGUCAUCAGAAAAGGCAAAGAGGACAUUUUGCAUGCAAAGUUUAUGGAUGGCUUGUUCUGUAUAACUUAUGAUGACAUUGGUGCUGUUGUGUCUAAUGCUGAUUCUUGUUGUGUUGCACAAACUAACAAAGUUCUUCAUGCAGGAUGCAUUCAUGAUGCACACAGAAGAUUUUGUCACAUGUCUUGGAAGGCGCUGGCCAAGAUGCCAGAGAUGGUUGAGGGUCUGAACAUCAAACCCUGUAAGUUUCACAUGAAAUGUGUAUCUUGUGCAGAGAACAAGGUGAAGGUUGCUCCAAAAGGCAAGGAGUCUAGCAGGCAGGCUUCCAAACCCUACCAGCUAGUGCACACAGACCUGGUUGGUCCACUUGCACCCUCUUUGGGUGGAGCAAGGUACUUCAUGGUUCUAAUUGAUUCUUUUUCCAGGUACAUUCAUGUGUUUAUGCUCGAGCAGAAAUCGCAAGCGUUUCCUAAGUUCAAGGCAUUCUGUGCUUGGUUGGAGAAUGUUCACGGUAAACGUAUUGGCUGUCUGUUUACUGAUCGAGGCGGGAGUUCACUUCUCAGCAGUUUGAAGCUUUCCUGACUGAGAAGGGAUCCAGCAUGACUUGUCAACGCCUAGAUCGCCAUGGAUGAAUGGGCUUGCGGAGCGAGCAAAUCAAACGUUGCUGCAAGGAAUGAAAACAUUGUUGCAUGAUGCCAAUCUCCUGAUAAGUAUUGGGGGGGAGGCUCUGUCGAAUUUUGUUUACACUUUUAAUCGCAGGUUGUCAUCACCUAUUGGUUGUACCCCCUAUGAGAAGAUGUUUGGUAAGAAACCCAACAUCAAGCACAUGAGAAUCUUUGGUUCUGACAUGUGGGUACACACCCCACAGAGCAACAAGCUUGGGAAGCGUGGGGCACAUGGUUUGUUCAUGGGGUACGAAAAGGUGCAUACAGGGUAUGGAUGACCAACUCUAAGUCCAUUAAGUUCACAGAGAGUGUUGAGUACAAUCCUAAGUGUGGGGAAAAUGUGGGAAUUUUCCAGAGUUACCCAGAGGAGGAUGAAGGUGAUGUCAAAGAAGCAGCUAAAGCUGAGGAAGCUGCUGAGGAUGAUGAUGAUGAUGAUGAUGAUCAGAGUUCGGAUUCCAGUUCAGUGGGCGGCGCUGCUGCUGGUGUCAGUGACAGUGAUGACACAGCAGACUACAAGAGUGCAAAGGCCUCAGUCAGACCAUCUGAUGCGUCUGACAAUGAACUGGAAGAACCACUGUUCACCAUUGGUCACUUUUCUCCUAAGAAGGAGGAGAUGAGUCCAGAAGACCUGCGUCUAGUACGCAGAUCUGAAAGAGCCACAAAGGGCAGACCUCCAAAGAGAUUUGCUGAUGAGUUUGCUAAGACAGCAACUGCUGUUCUUAGUAGCUCAGAGAAGGUAUGGGAACCUUCAAGCUUCAAAGAGGUUCAGGAGUUAACCUCUAAAGAUGCUGAGCCUUGGCUAAAUGCCAUGAAGGCUGAAGUUGAUUCCUUGAAUAGGAACCAAACUUGGGAACUGGUACCGGUAGUCCCAGGGAUGAGACUGGUUGGCAGCAAAUGGGUCUUCAAGGCCAAGACAGACCAGAAUGGCAAGGUUGUCAGACACAAAGCCAGAUUGGUUGCCGGAGGUUUUCACAGGUACCAGGACAGGAUUACCACGAGACCUACUCACCCACCGUCAAAUAUGAGAGCAUUCGGCUGAUGCUCAAGAUAGCUGCAGAGGAGAAACUGCAUGUUUCCCAUCAUGACAUUAAUACAGCUUUUUGUACGGGAUUUUGAACGAGGAGCUGUUUAUGCUUCCACCUGAUGGAAUGCAGAUACAGAAGGGAAUGGUCUGUAAACUGCGGAAAUCCUUGUAUGGUCUCAAGCAGAGUGCCAGGUGUUGGAACACAAAGCUCACUGAGACAUUGCUUUCUCUAGGUUUUCACCAGGGCAAAGCUGAUCCGUGUGUGUUUGUCAAGGAGGAGGGGCAAAACAAACUGUAUUGUUUAUGUUUUGUUGAUGAUCUUCUGAUGUUUUGGAAGAAUCAGGCUUUGUACCAAAGCACCCUAGCUCAGCUGAAGGAGCACUUUGACAUGAAGGAUCUUGGUGAGGUAUCCAACUAUCUUUCUCUGCAGGUGGAGAGGGACCAAGCAGGUAAUUUUCUGGUACACCAAACACAGAAAAUUGCUGAUGUAUUAACCAGGUUGAAUUUGGUUGAUGCAAACCCAGCAGACACACCGAUGGUGACAGGUUACCAGGUAGAUAGUACUGCUGAAGCGUUUUCUGACACAACGCUGUACAGAUGCAUUCUAGGCAAGUUGAAUUUCAUUGCUAGAUGCUCAAGACCUGACAUAGCUGUAAGCUGUAACCUGCUUAGCAGACAUGCCAACAAUCCUACUGUUCAGGAUUGGAAAGCUCUGAAGCGCAUAGCCCGCUAUUUGAAAGGGACUUUGCACUACAGGCUGAGGUUCACCAGUCAGAAGACUGGAGGUCUUGAAAUCUUUGCAGAUGCAAGUUUUGGAAGUGACACCACGGAUGGUACAAGCACUUCUGGAGUAUGCUACAUGUACAACCACUGUCUGUUUGACUGGCUGUGCAAGAAGCAGACGACAGUGAGCCUAAGUUCCUGUGAAGCAGAACUCAAUGCUCUGUCAUUUUCACUCAUGGAUUGUGAAUGGUUGAUGCAACUGUUUAAGGACAUCAGAGUUUCUGUGAAAUGUCCUGUACAAGUGUAUCAAGACAAUAGAUCGUGUUUGGCUUUGCUGAACUCGGAGAGUUGCAAGCAAAGGACCAAGUACUUGCAGAUUAAGCUACAUCGUGCAAGGGAGUGUAUUCAGAAAGGACUCAUUCAGGUGUCCUACAUGCCAGGAAAUGAAAUUCCUGCUGAUCUGUUGUCUAAGGUUGUUAACAGAGAACAACUUAAGGUUUAUGUACAAAGGUUGCAAUUGGGUUGAACCACAGGUACUACAGGUUACACGGAAGGGGGAGGAUGUUAGGAUAUUUCCGUUCCACCUUAAAAGGGAGCAGGCUUUGUGAGUCAGAGUCUGCGUAUUUCCUGUUCACAGGAUGUUUAUGUUUGCUAUUGCUUUCGUUUUCUCUCUGGUGUCGCAGACACUAAAGCAGUCGGUCAUGUUUUUCUGUGUUCUGAUCAACGCUGAAUAAACUUGUAAAUAAUGCUCUCCUGAGUGCAACUUUUGGCUGUGCUAAUUGCUGAUAGAGCGUGCAUGAGUCUGGAAUGUGGCAAGAUAUUUUCUAGAAACUCAUGUCGCUGCGUGCCUAUGGGAGGCUGAUGGAUCGUCCGGCAGACGGCUUGGGGGCCGUGAUGGACUUUAUCUCCCUGGCAGUAUCCCAACAGGCAGCACUCGCAAAAGCACAUCAGGAAGCAUGCACAGCGUUUCACCAGAACAAGGAGAGAGGCCAUUCUUCCUUUUAGCCAAGGAAGAUUGUGGAGUCACUCCCGAAAGGGUGUCUGUGUGUGUGUUGCUGUUGUUGACAAGGUGAACUUAAUGAGGAGAGAGAGGGAGGGAGCACGCACACAAAUAGAAAGGAAAUCUUGAAGCAGGAGUCCAGCUCCUUACCUACACUUUUGCUGUUGUUUUGCUAACAAUUAGAAUUAACCAGUGUUUAAUCCUUUCAAGUUCCACGGAACCCUUUAAGUCAAAGAACAGAUGAAGCAAAGCAAAUAGACCAUGUUCAUGUAAGCAUGUCUGCAGAGAGAGUAAGAUAGUGAACUCUUGCGUGUUCCUUCCUCCUGUUGUAAAAAGAGCUUUAACGUUCAAGGUCACCUACACUAGGCCAGAUUAUUGGGUUUUUGUGUGUGUGCCGUAACAAUGUUACGAGGUGUAUGUCUGAACCCACGUGUCUGUCCACCACCUGUGUGCUCCUUACACACACUUCCAAGAAGUUUAGGAUCUUUUGCUGGAGUCAAUAUGCAUUCCCGUUGCCCCAUAAUCAAUCAAUCAAUCAAUCAAUCAAUCAAUCAAUCAAUCAAUUCUACCCCACUCAUCUGGCUGGGUUUCCCCAGCCACUCUGGGCGGCUUCCAAUAAAACAUUAAAAUAAAAUAAUUCAUCAGAUAUUAAAAACUUCCCUAAAUAGGGCUGUCUUCAGAUGUCUUCUAAAAGUUGGAUAGUUGUUAAUUUCUUUAACAUCUGGUGGGAGGGCAUUCCACAUGGCGGGCGCCACUACCGAGAAGGCCCUCUGCCUGGUUCCCUGUAACUUCGCUUAUUGCAGUGAGGAAACCACCAGAAGGCCCUCAACGCUUGACCUCAGUGUCUGGGCAGAACGAUGGGGGUGGAGAUGCUCCUUCAGAAAGCUUGGUUUAUUAUGCGAAAAGAAAGAAACAAGAGUUUAUAGGUUACAGUGAGGUUCAGAUAUGCAGGCGGCAAAUCAUGCAGCACAGACACAUCUUGAUCUGAAAGGGUAAAAGAAUCCCUAACUAUCCCCAAAGCCUAGAGAGUGAGUGUAACAAUGUCCCACAGACCC
This is a non-coding RNA of Podarcis lilfordi (Lilford's wall lizard), 5876 nucleotides long. Lineage: Eukaryota; Metazoa; Chordata; Lepidosauria; Squamata; Lacertidae. The record is from the annotation of a GenBank genome assembly.